GGUUGUGUAGUGUAGUGGUUAUCACUUUGGAUUUUGAUUAAAAAGUCAAAACUUCCAAUAACCUGGGUUCGAGUCCCAGCACGACCU
Molecule: non-coding RNA, 87 nt
Organism: Ascosphaera aggregata
Lineage: Eukaryota; Fungi; Ascomycota; Eurotiomycetes; Onygenales; Ascosphaeraceae
Source: the annotation of a GenBank genome assembly